Molecule: ribosomal RNA, 462 nt
Filed under: uncultured bacterium
Lineage: Bacteria
Description: bacterial SSU rRNA
Rfam family: Bacterial small subunit ribosomal RNA
Source: RNAcentral
GAUGAACGCUGGCGGCGUGCCUAAUACAUGCAAGUCGAACGGGGUGUUUGAGCAAUCGGACACUUAGUGGCGAACGGGUGAGUAACGCGUUGGUGACCUGCCCCAAAGCGGGGGAUAACAGCCUGAAAGGGUUGCUAAUACCGCAUAUGAUGAUGAGAGACUAGAAACUUAUCAUUAAAGGAGAAAUCCACUUUGGGAGGGGCCUGCGUCCCAUCAGCUAGUUGGUAGGGUAAAAGCCUACCAAGGCGAAGACGGGUAGGGGACCUGAGAGGGUGACCCCCCACAAUGGAACUGAAACACGGUCCAUACACCUACGGGUGGCAGCAGUAGGGGAUAUUGCACAAUGGGCGGAAGCCUGAUGCAGCAACGCCGCGUGAGUGAUGAAGGCCCUCGGGUCGUAAAACUCUUUCAAGAGGAAGAGGAAGGACGGUACUCUUGGAAUAAGCCUCGGCUAACUACGUG